RNAcentral lists this ribosomal RNA (253 nucleotides) under uncultured bacterium. RNAcentral describes it as "partial 16S ribosomal RNA". It matches the Rfam family "Bacterial small subunit ribosomal RNA", at positions 524 to 776 of the family's 1533-position model. The record is from RNAcentral.
UACGUAGGGCGCGAGCGUUGUCCGGAAUUAUUGGGCGUAAAGAGCUCGUAGGCGGCCUGUUGCGUCCGCUGUGAAAUCCCGGGGCUCAACCCCGGGCGUGCAGUGGAUACGGGCUGGCUGGAGGCAGGCAGGGGAGAACGGAAUUCCUGGUGUAGCGGUGAAAUGCGCAGAUAUCAGGAGGAACACCGGUGGCGAAGGCGGUUCUCUGGGCCUGUACUGACGCUGAGGAGCGAAAGCGUGGGGAGCGAACAGG